This is a long non-coding RNA of Andrographis paniculata, 753 nucleotides long. RefSeq lists it as uncharacterized. The record is from RefSeq and is a predicted model, not a curated record. Lineage: Eukaryota; Viridiplantae; Streptophyta; Magnoliopsida; Lamiales; Acanthaceae. The transcript has 4 exons.
GGCCAAACAACAGUGGUGUGAGACCUAAAGUAUUUCUUUUUAAUCCAUCGGUGUAUGAUUGUUUUCGAUCAAUCCAACCCCAUAUGUUAAAUUUAUGAUCGAAGACCUUCGCAUAAAUGAUAAGGCUUAUAUUGCAUUCAUUUUUCCAAUACUUGAAAACGGUUCGGACCGAGCAACCGAAUAGUGUGGCAACUUAUGUUAUUUUCCUUUUCGAUGGCUCCCCACUCUCAUCGUAGGAAAUGAGUAUAAAUUGAACCACCCGGUUCAAUUCCGAAUGCGUCCAGGCACCGCAAACGGACCAAUAUCUGGAGACGAGGUUGUAGGUGGAUCAGAAGUCUCAACCGGAACAGGAUCCAGAGGCGGAGAUAAAGUCGUAGAAUCAGGGUCAGGAAACAAAGGACGACAUGACGACAUAAAUGAAGGUGAACCAGAAAUGGAUGAAACAUGAAAUAUAGACAGGGUGGAAAACAUGACACUCUCUCAAAAAGACAACAUAAAUGCGCACGAGGUUCCGAUUAGGAACGUUCAUGCGGAGGGAUAAAGACGAAACCGACACAACCGAAGGGAUGAAGGAUAUUAUAAUCGAGUGGCUGACCAUAUAGACGUUGAAAAGAAGUACUAUUAUGACAGAAAAAGGAUGAAAUACGAUUUAUGGUAUAGGCAACAUAGAAGGAACAAGGGAAUAACCCUAAAUAUCAAAAUGAACCAAGAAAAACGAUUUACUUGCAACCAACAUAUUUUCUGAAAUAUAUA